This 404-nucleotide ribosomal RNA is filed under the name Actinomycetes bacterium. RNAcentral's name for it is "Actinobacteria bacterium partial 16S ribosomal RNA". It matches the Rfam family "Bacterial small subunit ribosomal RNA", at positions 355 to 776 of the family's 1533-position model. The record is from RNAcentral. Lineage: Bacteria; Bacillati; Actinomycetota; Actinomycetes. RNAcentral also lists the same sequence under 1 other name.
UGGGGAAUAUUGGACAAUGGGCGCAAGCCUGAUCCAGCCAUGCCGCGUGAGUGAUGAAGGCCCUAGGGUUGUAAAGCUCUUUCACCGGUGAAGAUAAUGACGGUAACCGGAGAAGAAGCCCCGGCUAACUUCGUGCCAGCAGCCGCGGUAAUACGAAGGGGGCUAGCGUUGUUCGGAUUUACUGGGCGUAAAGCGCACGUAGGCGGACUUUUAAGUCAGGGGUGAAAUCCCGGGGCUCAACCCCGGAACUGCCUUUGAUACUGGAAGUCUUGAGUAUGGUAGAGGUCAGUGGAAUUCCGAGUGUAGAGGUGAAAUUCGUAGAUAUUCGGAGGAACACCAGUGGCGAAGGCGGCUCACUGGACCAUUACUGACGCUGAGGUGCGAAAGCGUGGGGAGCAAACAGG